AUACGUAGGGGGCGAGCGUUGUCCGGAAUGAUUGGGCGUAAAGGGCGCGUAGGCGGCGCGGUAAGUCUGGAGUGAAAGUCCUGCUUUCAAGGUGGGAAUUGCUUUGGAUACUGCCGCGCUUGAGUGCAGGAGAGGUUAUCGGAAUUCCCGGUGUAGCGGUGAAAUGCGUAGAGAUCGGGAGGAACACCAGUGGCGAAGGCGGGUAACUGGACUGCAACUGACGCUGAGGCGCGAAAGUGUGGGGAGCAAACAGGAUUAGAUACCCUGGUAGUCCACGCUGUAAACGAUGAAUACUAGGUGUGGGGGGACUGACCCCCUCCGUGCCGCAGUUAACACAAUAAGUAUUCCGCCUGGGGAGUACGGCCGCAAGGUUGAAACUCAAAGGAAUUGACGGGG
RNAcentral lists this ribosomal RNA (396 nucleotides) under uncultured bacterium. RNAcentral describes it as "partial 16S ribosomal RNA". It matches the Rfam family "Bacterial small subunit ribosomal RNA", at positions 523 to 918 of the family's 1533-position model. The record is from RNAcentral.